This 347-nucleotide unclassified non-coding RNA is filed under the name Hevea brasiliensis (rubber tree). The record is from RNAcentral. Lineage: Eukaryota; Viridiplantae; Streptophyta; Magnoliopsida; Malpighiales; Euphorbiaceae.
AAAAAGAAGAAAUACCAGGAUAACGAUGAUCCAGUGCCUAAGGAUAGUAAGGCAGUCCAGAAACAAGCAGCUAAGGUUUCAUCGAAGGUUUCAACAAAGGAACAAGGGAAAGCCAAGGCCGUCAGGAAAGCUAAACUUGGGCCCAGCAAGGAGGAAUUGCAUUCUGUUGUCAGCAAAAUAUUGAAAGAAGUGGAUUUCAAUACUGCAACAUUGGCCGACAUCCUCAAGCAAUUAGGUGCUCACUUCAACACAAAUCUAAUGGAUAGAAAGGAGGAGGUGAAGCAUAUAAUUCAAGAUGUGAUAAACACUAUGACUGAUGAAGAUGAUGACGACGAGGAUGAUGAUGG